Molecule: ribosomal RNA, 460 nt
Filed under: uncultured bacterium
Lineage: Bacteria
Description: partial 16S ribosomal RNA
Rfam family: Bacterial small subunit ribosomal RNA
Source: RNAcentral
CCUACGGGUGGCAGCAGUGAGGAAUAUUGGUCAAUGGACGAGAGUCUGAACCAGCCACGCCGCGUGAAGGAUGACUGCCCUAUGGGCUGUAAACUUCUUUUAUAUAGGAAUAAAACAGGGUAUGCAUACCCUCUUGUAUGUACCAUAUCAAUAAGGAUCGGCUAACUUAGCUACAGCAGCCGCGGUAAUACGGAGGAUCCGAGCGUUAUCCGGUUUUAUUGGGUGUAAAGGGAACGCAGGUGGUUUGUUAAGUCAGUUGUGAAAGUCUGCGGCUCAACCGUAGAAGUGCAGUUGAAACUGGCAGACUUGAGUGCAGUAGAGGAGAGUGGAAUUCGAUGUGUAGCGGUGAAAUGCGUAGAUAUCUCGAAGAACUCCGAUGGCGAAGGCAGCUCACUGGACUGCAACUGACACUGAGGUUCGAAAGUGUGGGUAGCAAACAGGAUUAGAUACCCGAGUAGUC